This 736-nucleotide long non-coding RNA is filed under the name Salmo salar (Atlantic salmon). RNAcentral's name for it is "lncRNA (ENSSSAG00000088350.1)". The record is from RNAcentral. Lineage: Eukaryota; Metazoa; Chordata; Actinopteri; Salmoniformes; Salmonidae.
GCUGUUGGGGUGGAGAAGAAACCAAGAAUGUUAGUUGUGCAAGCCUCCGAACUGGAAAUGCUUACAAAUACUGUGUAAAGGACAAGGAAAAACCUAAAUGUGUGGAGUGGCAAUCAGUGGAUUCCAAUAAGACGUCUAUGUGGCUUGCUGAACUUUGCCAACACAAAAACACUACACAUGCACCCAAUGUGAUUGAUGUCAGCUACUCCUGUAUCAGCCUCCUGGAGUGUGUCAACGUAGACCACACUGCCAUAAGCAAUGUGACUGAGCAUUUGACCCAUUUCGUUGUGUUUGGUGCAUCAGGUGAGUGAGUCCACGUGAUCAUUGUGUGGUACAGUAACACUCUCUUAUUAAGCUUAAAAACAUGAAACAAUAUCAUAGUCAUUUGGAAUAGGAUCACCUGUUGCGCAGUGAGAGCCAGCUCCUCAUAACUGGUUGAUGCAGCAUCAACUCAUAACUGGUUGAUACAUGGAAUAAAACAUGUGUUCCUAUAAGCCCAUGUUGCACAACAUUUUUCUAUAGGCUAUGCUAUGUAUUUGCAUGAGAAAACAGUUUUGAUGGCCUAUAUUAAAAAGAGGAGGAUCCCAUCAGCUUUCUACAGGCUAGGCCUACUAUAUUUAUUUCUCAACUUUGCUCAUAUUAAGCACAUUGCUUCGCUUUACAACCGGAGUAACCUACCUGGCUGGGCUGAAAAUGAACCGCUGGAAAGGUGUCCUCCAUUUGCUAUUCAAGUGCA